AAUUUACCUCACUCUGCCUCUGCAUGUCUGCAUAUUGGUUCUCCAUUCAAUAUUUAGUCUGCAUGUCUUGCAGAUUACGACAGUUAAAUGCAACCACAGUUUCCUGAACAAGAGGACUGAUAUCUGGUUACUUACCAUGUGACUUGUUUCACAGAAGGGGCUCUGAAAACAACCUAACAUUAUGCACAGCAUCAUUUUGGAGUCUUUGCAGUUAUAUUUCUAUAUUGACCUCACUUGCAAAUUGCAUAAUUUUAACAGAAAAUAUAUUGGAUGUUGUUGUUCGACUUAUUUUUAUUUAUUUAUUUUUUUUAGUGUUGCCUUGCUUAACUUCUUGAACUGCUGCUAUAUCAGCCUAUAGCAUCUCUUGCUCUCACGCUCAGUGCACAACCUGUAUCUUGGUUUAGUUGUUCAGGCCAAAAUAAAAAAAAAGUGGUGAUUGUUUUCAUAUUGCAGCAUGUGGGGAAAGAAAAAGGUUGCCUAACUGAUUUUGUUUUUUCAUGACAUGACAAGACAUGAUAAGGUUUUUGUAAGGCGGCGUCUCUUCUUGUUUUUUUAAUCUCCAAAAACAUCACAGCUUUUUCGUCACAGUGAAAUUUAACAGAAGACAUGACAACUGAUGCUUACGAAAAUUAAAAAUGGCAAACAACAUGACAACUAAUGAUGGAGUGAGUGAUCCUACACAUUAUAUUUGUGAGGAUAACGUUCCAAUUUUUACCGGGACUUUCUUCAUCUUAAUCUUCAUCCUCAGUGUCAUAGGCAACAGUCUCCUCUUAUGUGUUCUUUUCAUCUACGAGGACCUGAAAAGUAUCACAAAUAUUUUCAUCCUGAACCUGGCCUGCUCUGAUUUGAUCUUCACCAUCACACUUCCAUUCUGGGCCGUUGAUCACCUACACCACUGGAUCUUUGGGGACUUUGUCUGCAAAUUCGUGACUGCCACAUUCUUUGUUGGUUUGUACAGCAGUGUCAUUUUACUGACUGCCAUGACAGUUGCCCGUUUCAUUAGUGUGGUGCUGCCAACCUGGAAAAGUAACCGUGCUAGAAGAAAGAAGUGUGCAAUCGGUGCCUGUGUAGCUGCCUGGAUCAUCAGCAUCUCAGCAUCCCUGAGUGAUGCUGUGAAAGUACAGGUUGAACACUGGUAUGAUAAAAACUAUUGCUACAAUAAAUCUGAUGAAAACCUUGGACGUUAUCUCCAAGUGUCACUGCUAUUCUUCCUCCCAUUUGCCAUCAUUAUUUUCUGCUAUUCUGCCAUCCUCAAGACGGUUUUGCAAGGUUUAAAUAGAAAUAAGCAAAAGACUGUAGCUGUGCUGUUGUGUAUUGUUGCAGCCUUUUUCAUUUGCUGGGGGCCAUACCAUAUUAUGCUUUUAAUUAAAUCUCUUGAUAAACCCAAAGAUUGUAAGGCAAAGGAACGGUUAGCAGUUGCCUACCAUAUUUGUGAAAUGCUUGCCUAUUUUCACUGCUGUAUGAACCCACUGCUAUAUAUGCUCUCAAAGAAGGUGCGAAAGCAUCUGUUGAAUCUUAUGCACUGUGAAAAUGUGCGCAGGAAGAACAGAGAGAGAGACACCAGGCAGGAUGUGGCUUUCACUGCCCAGAGAUCUCCUGACAGUCCACAUAGUCAGUCGUUAAAUUAAGCAUUGAUUCAGUUUGUAAAUGUAAAAGUAGAGACUCUAUUUCUUUACUUUUACACAUGCACAUAUUUAUAUGUAUAUGUAUAUAUAUAUGGUAAAUGGUAAAUGGCCUGUAUUUGUAUAGCGCUUUACUUAGUCCCUAAGGACCCCAAAGCGUGUCUUUAUGAUUGGUUUUAUUCUGAUUUUAGUGUUUACUUGUAAGUGUAGUUUUGAUUUUAUUUGCAUGAUUUUAUUCUGAUAUUUGUAUUGCCUUUUUCUAGUUGUUUGUUUAUAUAACGUCAUUAUAAUGCACUGUGGGCUGGCUGGACAUGGGACCUGUCCAGCCCUGAGGUGGCCUAUCAGCUAGUGAAACGACCUAAAGCUGACUGAGCACUGAAAGAGGGCCCAGGUAUGAAGAGAAAGGAGCGUGUAGGAAACAGGCAUGGGAGAGAAGGACAUGCUGCCUGAUCACCAGGUGAAAACGGCUUGUGAAAGGACGGGCAGAGCGGCGCGACGCCGCGUCCCAUUUUCCGGCGACAGAUACGGCGUCCAGUGGGGUAAAAACCGCAUGUGAUCAACAGCAGGGCAGAGGUGAACCUCUGUGAUUAACCUGCAGGAUUAACCUGAGUGUCCCAGUCCUGGACAAGUUUUUUAAUAUUGAGGACAUGAGGCCUGAUUGUCGCCUUAGCAGGGAGUCUACUGAGUCUACUUAACCAGGAUCGGAGACAUGGUUGAGGUGCCACAAUUGAGGUCUUUUUGUUUCUUUUGUGGCUGGCAAGUGAAGCACCCUACAGAGUUGUUUCCAGAGUUUUCGCAAUACCUCGUUCCACUGUUUACCGCAUUAUCCACAGGGUCACAGAGGUGGUAGCCCUUCACCAUCAGGUCAUCCACCUCCCUCCGACCCCUGAAGAUCUAGAAGCCGUGUCUCAUGGGUUUGCAGGGCUGGCAAGACACGGAGCCGUUUUGAAAGCUGCUGGUGCAAUUGACUGCUGCCAUGGUCGCAUCAAGCCUCCCAGCGGCCCUGACGGUCAGUGCUACAGUAACAGGAAAUUGUUCCCCUCCAUAAUCCUGCAGGCAGUUUGUGACCAUCAGGGCCGCUUCAUACAUAUGAGGGCUGGGCGGGGUUAGUGCAGGACUCCAGGGUGCUCUGCAACAGCCCACUGUACCGGCAGGCCAUUUACCCUCCUCCAGGGUAUUUCGUCCUAGCAGAUGGAGGGCACCCAUGUCUCCAAGAUUCACUGCCCCUCAUCACUCCCUACAAGAGGCCAAUCCAAGGUGUGGGAGCCCAGCGCUUCAACUCAUCAUUCCAGGGCAUGCUCUAUUAGAGUGUGCUUUUGGAAUGACAAAGACGAGGUUCUGUGCCAUUUUCCUCUAAGCGCUGGAGGUACACCACACCCUUGUACCACAUGUCAUAACAGCAUGUGCUGUCCUGCAUAAUAUCUGCCUCGGUGCUGGUGACAUUGUGGCCCCGGACGAUGAGCCGGAGCAUGAUGUGCAAGAUGAGUGGGUGUGGGUGCUGAGGUGUCUUCCCUGGAUGAGGAUUGUUUGCACUACUUUCGUCUUGCAUCGUUGUGAGUACAUUUUAGUGACAUGGCAGCCGUCUUUUCCAUCAGCCCUGUAAACGCAAGUGAUAAGAUGAUGCGGUGGACAGUGGAAUCGAGCAUCCCUGAACACCUUCUGGUGACCACCCUGUAUGAUGCUCCACUCAGUAGCUGGCACCUCCUUCAUCUCUUUGGAUUCAGCAGCACUGGCUGAGACUUCCUGCUCAGCCAAAAAUCGGGCCCGCUUAAAAGUGCCUGUGCAUACUGGGACAGUCGGGUUAAUCCUGGACUUUAAUGAUAAGUUGAUUACUGUUAAAGGAUUUUUUAUAUGUAUUUUGCUCUAUUGUAGUUAAAAAUCUCUAGUUGUUUAGCUUCAUUUAAAACUCCUGCAUACAUUGUGUUUUGACAAAAGCUUGCAUGAGGAAACUGCCACAGGAAACCUCACCCUUGCUGAGUUUGCUGAGAUAAGCUUGACCAGUUCCUCUUGUGACAGUUUGAACAUAUAUGUUUUAUGCUUAUCACCUUGGAAGGAGUUGUUUUGUACUCACAAGGGGUGGUGCCCUGAAAUGUGCUACGUAAGAGCUGUCUAUAAAUAAAGAGAGAACCGAUGUCUCGGCGCGUGUCUCUGUGGAGACAUUGCCCAUGUAGAUCUA
This is a long non-coding RNA of Oreochromis niloticus (Nile tilapia), 3798 nucleotides long. RefSeq annotates it as chemokine XC receptor 1. The record is from RefSeq and is a predicted model, not a curated record. The transcript has 4 exons. Lineage: Eukaryota; Metazoa; Chordata; Actinopteri; Cichliformes; Cichlidae.